CACUGAGUGCUUCAAAUCAUUCAGAAGAGAUGCUGUUUUUAGGGCAGUUUAUUAAAGAAGACCUGACAUGGAUGACUUCCAAUGAGAAACGACUGCUAAUACUUAUAUAAAUUCAUUACAGAAGGACCCUACCAGACUAUAUUUGAAUACGGCAUACCCAUGAAUUCUGGAACUGUUAUUCCUUAACCCAGUUUGGAGGAUAAGAGCUUACCAACUAGUUAUAAAUAUGCUGAGGUGAUGUAUUGCAAAAUAGCCAACAUACAACAAUAAAGGAUAAUUGCAGACUACAUCCUGAUGAAGAUAUGGAUGACCCUCUGUCUGGUCAACAGGAGUUUAAAUAUGGACGGGACAGUUAUGUGGCAGCUCUUCCCUGGCUCAUUCAUCUCUUACCUUCAUUUGUGAAAGGAAGAAAGACUGGAGAGGGUCAAUGUGCAACUGAAGCUACUGAUUGUGCUGUGUGAUGAGCAUCAAUCCAUGCUUUGAGGUGGAUGAAUCAGCACAGCCCUGCCUGCUCUGUGUUGGGAACAGAAGUUGCAUCCAGAAUUUUUGCAUCAUUCUGGACCAAAAAGCCAUUCCCUGCAUGAUGAAGACCACUGAUGCAGCCUUCCGCUACAUCAUGAGUAAAACAACUACAGAACUAAAUACCAGGUUGGAACGUAUUUAAGAAAAAUGAAACGUCUUUUGAAUUGAAAUGUCUGUUUUGUUAUGGAAAAAUCUUUAGUAUUGUGAAGGAUAAGCAUUUCUGCCUGCCAGUAAGGUAAUUGCAGUGUAUUUUAAUGUUCAAGUUUUGAGUAGGGUGGCUAAUUUUUUUUUAAAAGAUUGAUUUAUUAAAGACCUUAUAAUAAGUGGUUUUCAUGUCACUGCGCUGUGGUAUAAGAUAACUUUCAUUAUUCCAUACUGUAUUCUGUAUUCUAAUUGUAGCUGAGGUAUUUAAAUAAGCAGUAUUAAAUGCAAAGUGUUGUGUGUAUCAAUGUAAAUAUUAAAUGUGAUGUACUUUAAUAAAAAGAGGUUUUGCAAUAUUUCUUGUCAUUUGUCUUUUAUAGAAACAACCCAUUAGCAACAAAAGUGGCUAUUAAUCAGUAUUUUAACACUUAACAUUGUUGAAUUCACAUUACACUGGUGUUGACCUUAAAUUAGGAGUGUUAAUUUUUAACACUGUAUUUGUGUGCCAACACCAGUGUAGUGUGGAAACAACAAUGAAUAGUGUUGAAC
This is a long non-coding RNA of Paramisgurnus dabryanus, 1212 nucleotides long. RefSeq lists it as uncharacterized. The record is from RefSeq and is a predicted model, not a curated record. Lineage: Eukaryota; Metazoa; Chordata; Actinopteri; Cypriniformes; Cobitidae.